AUUGAACGCUGGCGGCAUGCCUAACACAUGCAAGUCGAACGGUAACGCGAAGGGCUUGCUCUUUGGCGACGAGUGGCGGACGGGUGAGUAAUAUAUAGGAAUCUACCUAGAGAUGGGGGAUAACCUGGGGAAACCCAGGCUAAUACCGCAUAAUCCCUACGGGGGAAAGCAGGGGAUCUUCGGACCUUGCGUCUUAUGAUGAGCCUAUAUCGUAUUAGCUUGUUGGUGGGGUAAAGGCCUACCAAGGCGACGAUCCGUAGUUGGUUUGAGAGGAUGACCAGCCACACUGGGACUGAGACACGGCCCAG
This 308-nucleotide ribosomal RNA is filed under the name uncultured bacterium. RNAcentral describes it as "bacterial SSU rRNA". It matches the Rfam family "Bacterial small subunit ribosomal RNA", at positions 30 to 334 of the family's 1533-position model. The record is from RNAcentral.